Molecule: ribosomal RNA, 251 nt
Filed under: uncultured Bifidobacterium sp.
Lineage: Bacteria; Bacillati; Actinomycetota; Actinomycetes; Bifidobacteriales; Bifidobacteriaceae
Description: partial 16S ribosomal RNA
Rfam family: Bacterial small subunit ribosomal RNA
Source: RNAcentral
UGGGUGAGAGUGGCGAACGGGUGAGUAAUGCGUGACCGACCUGCCCCAUACACCGGAAUAGCUCCUGGAAACGGGUGGUAAUGCCGGAUGCUCCAGUUGGAUGCAUGUCCUUCUGGGAAAGAUUCAUCGGUAUGGGAUGGGGUCGCGUCCUAUCAGCUUGAUGGCGGGGUAACGGCCCACCAUGGCUUCGACGGGUAGCCGGCCUGAGAGGGCGACCGGCCACAUUGGGACUGAGAUACGGCCCAGACUCC